Molecule: long non-coding RNA, 201 nt
Filed under: Elaeis guineensis (African oil palm)
Lineage: Eukaryota; Viridiplantae; Streptophyta; Magnoliopsida; Arecales; Arecaceae
Description: long non-coding RNA (EGUI_LNC005490)
Source: RNAcentral
GGUAGGAUGUUUUGGCUGACGUAAAAUUUUCUAAAUGACAAAAAUAACCUCGAUUUGCAAGGUUUUGAUCGGAAACGUCCCUAUUAUUCUUCGUCUUUACGGCGACGUCCUUGUCCAUUUGUUAGGGAAAACUCGGGGGUUGGUAUGCGGUAACCGCCCGUAAAUUUACCCCCUUUCUUUGGUCCGCGCAUCUAAGGGACC